This is an RNA transcript of Onychostoma macrolepis, 3421 nucleotides long. It is a transcript of the gene named kinesin family member 2a, with no coding region annotated. The record is from RefSeq and is a predicted model, not a curated record. Lineage: Eukaryota; Metazoa; Chordata; Actinopteri; Cypriniformes; Cyprinidae. The transcript is spliced from 21 exons.
CUCAAGUCGAGCUUCCCCCGCGCACGCGCUCUGUACUCUCUGCCUCUUUUAUGUCUGGCGCUGUGGCCGCCUCCCGGUUUUGAGCAACACGGAACAACAAAUGUGAAAAAUUCAAACACAAACACUGUUUUUAGGUCCCACACACCCGUUUAUUUGAGUGUUUCCUUCGGCCCAUGAAUUAGCCAUGGCGGUGAACUUCGGCAAGAUCGUCGUGGGGAUUUAUGUGGAGAUAAAGCGCAGCGAUGGGCGAAUACACCAGGCCAUGGUGACCUCUUUAAAUGAAGAUAAUGAAAGUGUUACUGUGGAAUGGAUAGAAAAUGGAGACACUAAAGGAAAAGAGAUUGAUUUGGAGUGCAUAUUCUCCCUAAAUCCAGAUGUUGGUCCAGAAGAGGAGAUUUCCUUGAGCCCUGUUACACCACCGCCUCCUACACCCAGCUCUGUGAAGGUCAACAAAAUCCCUAAGAAUCGUAGAACUAUUGCACCGGGAAGGAGUGAAAUCCCAUGCAGAGACAACAGAGUUGGCUCGACUCGGGGACGGCCGGCCCAGCAGCAACAGCCAGAAUCAGCACCCCCUCCACCAAUACAACAGCCCUCUCAGCCCACACAGAGCCAGACCCAAAGUCAGAUAACUCAGCAACAACAAAACGCAGCAAGGAGGAAGUCGAACUGUGUAAAGGAAGUGGAAAAAUUGCAGGAGAAGAGGGAGAGACGUAGGCUACAGCAACAGGAACUGAGAGAAAAGCGUGCACAGGAAAUUGAUACAACGAUUCCAAACUAUGAAAUACUGCAGAUGAUCCGAGACUUCAGAGCAAGUUUGGACUAUCGACCACUAACCACGACAGAUUUGAUUGAGGAGCACAGAAUAUGCGUUUGUGUUAGGAAACGACCCCUCAAUAAAAAAGAAUUGACGGUAAAGGACCUAGAUGUGAUCACUAUUCCAAGUAAAGAUGUUGUCAUGGUCCAUGAACCAAAACAGAAGGUGGACCUGACUCGAUACCUAGAGAACCAAACGUUCCGCUUUGAUUAUGCCUUUGAUGACAGCACAACAAAUGAAAUGGUUUACAGGUUUACUGCGAGACCCCUUGUGGAAACCAUCUUUGAUAGAGGAAUGGCCACAUGCUUUGCUUAUGGCCAAACAGGAAGUGGAAAAACUCAUACCAUGGGUGGAGAUUUUUCAGGAAAGAACCAGGAUUGUUCAAAAGGAAUCUAUGCAUUAGCUGCUAGAGAUGUUUUUCUCAUGCUGAAGAAACCAAACUAUAAGAAGCUGGAUCUUCAGGUUUACGCAACUUUCUUUGAAAUUUACAGUGGAAAGGUAUUUGAUCUGUUGAAUCGUAAGGCUAAGCUACGUGUGCUAGAAGAUGGGAAGCAGCAGGUCCAGGUGGUUGGUCUUCAGGAGCGUGAGGUCAAAUGCACUGAGGAUGUCCUCAAACUCAUUGAAAUAGGGAACAGUUGCAGGACCUCAGGUCAGACAUCAGCCAAUGCCCACUCAUCCCGUAGCCAUGCUGUCUUCCAAAUCAUUCUACGAAGAAAGGGCAAAAUGCAUGGCAAAUUCUCACUCAUUGAUCUGGCGGGUAACGAACGUGGAGCAGACACGUCCAGCGCUGAUCGGCAGACUCGUUUAGAGGGAGCCGAAAUCAACAAGAGUCUUUUGGCUCUGAAGGAAUGUAUCAGGGCUCUGGGUCGUAAUAAGCCUCACACCCCAUUCAGAGCGAGCAAGCUCACACAGGUCCUCAGAGACUCAUUCAUUGGCGAGAACUCCAGGACAUGCAUGAUCGCCACCAUUUCUCCUGGCAUGGCUUCCUGUGAGAACACGCUAAACACUCUGAGAUAUGCCAACAGAGUAAAGGAGUUUGGGAUUAGCCCCUCUGACAUCCCCUUCUCUCAGGGGGGAGGAAGUCGCUCUGAACCCUCUCCUACCUAUGAAGUGAAGGAGCUGACCGUCGAUCCCAAUGCUGUGACAGAGGGAGUCCGCCCCAAUGUCAACGCCAUCAACCAGCUGGACAUCAUGGAUGAGGAAUGGGAUUUGGGCAACUCCCCUCAGAGAGAUGACCUCAAACUGCUCUGUGAACAGAAUGAAGAGGAAGUCUCCCCUCAGCUCUUCACGUUCCACGAGGCGGUGUCUCAGCUGGUGGAGAUGGAGGAGCAGGUUCUGGAAGACCACAGGGCUGUGUUUCAGAUACGGUUCAGUCCCAAAACUGAAAAAAGGGAAUUGCUAAUGAUGAUGUUCACACUAUAUGUGCUGACAGGAGUCUAUCAGAUGGCUUGAGGAUGAGAAGGUUCUGCUGGAGAUGACCGAGGAGGUGGACUACGACGUGGACUCCUACUCUUCUCAGCUGGAGCAGAUUCUUGACCAGAAGAUUGAGAUCCUUAUUGAGCUCAGAGAUAAAGUGAGGUCAUUCCGUUCUACUCUCCAAGAGGAGGAACAAGCCAGCAAGCAGAUUAACCCCAAGCGGCCCCGUGCGCUGUAGCCUGGAACACACUCACGGAGAAACGACGAACACAAGAGUCCUGUAGGCUUCUUGAUAGUAUUCAGAAGUAUUCUGAAGAAACCUUUCCUACUUUCACAUGUGAAAUAAAGCGUUAGGUAAUUCUCUUACAAAUCAGCAGAGGAUAAAAUAAGGGGAUUUUUCUGAUCAUUAAAACCCUUGAAUGAUUGUGAGGAAAGCUUUAGAAUUUUUUUAUUAGUAUCGAUUUUAUUUAUUUUACUUUUUCAUUGUAGGUUAAGGGUACAGACUUGUAUCAGUUGAUACUCACAUGUUCUACCCUUUGGGGUUGUUUUUUUUUUUUUUUUUUUAGUUGUACCACUGAAAUCCUUCCUUCAAAGUUCUAAAUUGUAUGCAUGAACACUCUGCAACAGUUUAUCACUCCGUUCCUAGCAUGACUGACUUGGUUCAUCUGCACUUUAAAUAACAUUGUUUUUUGGGGGUCCGUUUACCGUACUUGGCACGGUGUAUGUUUCUGUUGAUUGGCUGUUUACUCUUUCACUUUGCCAUUUCUUGAAGGUUCAAUAGAUGAAGUUAAAGAAGUUCUCGAAGAAGCAUAAAAUGCACUGGGAGAAAGUCUUGAGGUUAUGUAAAUGAAUGUGAGAAAUGUCAGCAGUUAGUUUUGUUGGUUUAUCAAUGACCGCUGUCACUUUUCCACAUGAUAUUCUCUUUGCCGUCUCUCUCAUCUGUUCAUCUGUAGAACGUUUUCGUGCCAUAUCAUGUUUCCUUGUGGAAAGGAAGUUAACAGUCCACCAACUUAGUGUUUUGCUUUUAAAACUUCCCAACAUUCUCACAUCUCAUAUUAAAAUUUGUACAAUGUUAUAACUUUCAGCAAGAUUCUCCUAACAAAUAGGGAAUACCACUUAUCUGCUGCUGAGGUUUUCAGUGUUGGCACCUCUCAAUUCAGUGGUUGCUAAAUAAAGAAUGAUUCAACAAAA